UACGUAGGUGGCAAGCGUUGUCCGGAUUUACUGGGCGUAAAGAGCGCGCAGGCGGUCAAGUAAGUCGAAUGUGAAAGCCCCCGGCUCAACUGGGGAGGGUCAUUCGAUACUGCUCGACUUGAAGGCAGGAGAGGGCAGCAGAAUUCCCGGUGUAGUGGUGAAAUGCGUAGAUAUCGGGAGGAACACCAGUGGCGAAGGCGGCUUCCUGGCCUGUUCUUGACGCUGAGGCGCGAAAGCUAGGGGAGCAAACGGG
This 253-nucleotide ribosomal RNA is filed under the name uncultured bacterium. RNAcentral describes it as "partial 16S ribosomal RNA". It matches the Rfam family "Bacterial small subunit ribosomal RNA", at positions 524 to 776 of the family's 1533-position model. The record is from RNAcentral.